GCUCCCUACGGGGCGCAGCAGUGGGGAAUAUUGCACAAUGGGGGAAACCCUGAUGCAGCGACGCCGCGUGAGUGAUGAAGUAUUUCGGUAUGUAAAGCUCUAUCAGCAGGGAAGAUAAUGACGGUACCUGACUAAGAAGCUCCGGCUAAAUACGUGCCAGCAGCCGCGGUAAUACGUAGGGGGCAAGCGUUAUCCGGAUUUACUGGGUGUAAAGGGAGCGUAGACGGCUGUACAAGUCUGAAGUGAAAGCCCGUGGCUCAACCGCGGAACUGCUUUGGAAACUGUAAAGCUGGAGUACU
RNAcentral lists this ribosomal RNA (299 nucleotides) under uncultured bacterium. Its description in RNAcentral is "partial 16S ribosomal RNA". It matches the Rfam family "Bacterial small subunit ribosomal RNA", at positions 334 to 650 of the family's 1533-position model. The record is from RNAcentral.